UCAGCACUGAAACGAAACUUUUCUGCAAUAAAGAAGCAACAGUUAGUCCAAGUUAAAAUCCAAAAUGCUUCAAACAGAAUUCCAGUGAAUUAAUUUGUCCCAAAUUUACUUUAAAUUGCAUUGCCAAAAGAAUACAAAAGUACAAACCAUAUCAGAGAGUAAAGUCUCUUUAUCAGUGCAAGGGAAGGCUGUGUCAGCAAAGACAUAAGUUGAAUGCAUGUUUGCACAUGCAGAGUACAUCAUAAGUUCCAACAACAGUUCAAUUAGCAUAUGAAAGCCUUUUACACAGAACGACCAAUUCAAAUUUGGGUCCAAACAGUGACAAAGUAAUACAGAAACAUAAUAAGUAAUAGGGUGGUGCUGUUGCCAAAGUGAAUAUUGUUAGGGGCAGAGCAAUAUAGUUAAAUAGACAGGAUCUAAGUUGGACCAAAUUGUUAUUGCCAGACAAAAACCCCCUUUUCUGCAUUUUUUUCCCCUAUUUUUCUUUUGAUGUUUUUCAAGAGGAAUAUAAAGAAGCUGAGAAAACGAAGAGAACAUUGGAAGUAAGCAAUAUGAAUUUGACAAUAAUGAUAAAGAAGACUGUUGUACUUGAUGAUGUGCAGUCGUCUUAUAGUUACGUCAGGGAUUAUUGCUAUUUAGUAAGAAUGUAAUAAUUCUUAUAUAACAUUACUUGUCUUCUACCAUCAAUAUUUAGCCUUAAAUUUUAUUUCUUUUGCACUUGUCCUCUAUCAGGUGUCCAAGACUACUCUAUGCCUUCAUGUGCCCUUAAUAAGUAUUAUUUGUUCAAACAAUAUACUUGGUGUAAUAAUUGGGUGAAAUUCUUAACCUGCUAAUACAAUUAUGAAGUGUGUGACAAGAUGCAUCCGCAAAAACGCUAGGCCAAAGAAGCAACUCAAGAAAAUUUUUAACCAUGUGAAAGAAGGCAUUAUAAAUUACUCAUGCUUCAUUAUAAAUGCCUAUUGUAUACAUGAUACGUUGAAAGAGAUCUCUAGAAAUAAAAAUGGUCAUUUCCACUUCUCACCGACAGUACUCUUUUCUGGAAGAGGUGGAAUAAAAACACCUUUGUACUUUUCAAAA
RNAcentral lists this unclassified non-coding RNA (1077 nucleotides) under Hevea brasiliensis (rubber tree). Lineage: Eukaryota; Viridiplantae; Streptophyta; Magnoliopsida; Malpighiales; Euphorbiaceae. The record is from RNAcentral.